CAGGUACCGGUUCACGCCCGCCGACGGCGGGAUGCGGCGUGGCGACCCGGCGACC
The submitters of this non-coding RNA (55 nucleotides) gave its source as unclassified sequences. The record is from Rfam.